GUCACAUGGCUUGAAAUAGAUAUGAGAUCAUCUUAGCACUGGUUUUCGGGCUCUCCCCAUCCAGCCCCGUCCUGCCGGCACCACACCUGGCCUCGGAGAGAACACGGGAUCGCAUCCCACUGCAAGGAGUGCCCGCAAAAACGAAUGUGAGCAGCUUUUGGGUGCUCAGGCCCAGCCAUGGCAGAACUGUGCCGCACGGACUCCUCGCUGACCACCCUGGACGAGGAGAUGCUGUGGGAGAUGAUGGAGGACCACCGCUGCAGGAUCGUGCGCAGCAUCUGCCCCAGCCGCCUCACCCCCUACCUGCGCCAGGCAAAGGUGCUGGACCAGCUGGACGAGGAGGAGGUGCUGCACAGCCCCAGGUUCACAAACACGGCCAUGAGAGUUGGGCACUUGCUGGAUUUGCUGAAGACUCGAGGGAAGAACGGGGCCAUCGCUUUCCUGGAGAGCCUGAAAUUCCACAACCCUGACGUCUACACCCUGGUCACCGGGCUACAGCCCAGCGUGGACUUCACAAACUUCAGUGGGCUCAUGGAGACGUCCAAGCUGACCGAGUGCCUGGCUGGGGCCAUCGGCAGCCUGCAGGAGGAGCUGAGCCAGGAGAAGGGGCAGAAGGAGGCACUGCUGCGUCAGUGCCAGCAGCUGCAGGAGCACCUGGGCCAGGCCGAGGCCCGUGUCGAGGGCUUGCGCCAGCUGGAGGCCGACCACGGCCGCAUGAAGCGCGAGGUCAGUGCCCACUUCCACGAGGUGCUGAAACUGAAGGAUGAGAUGCUGAGUCUCUCGCUGCACUACAGCAACGCGCUGCAGGAGAAGGAUCUGGCCGCCACGCGCUGCCGUGGCCUGCAAGAGGAGCUGUAUCUGAUGAAGCAAGAGCUGCAGCGAGAGAAGACGUCUUCUUCCUGUGAGCGGGAAUUUCGAGAGCGGUCCCUGAAAAUGACGAAUGACCUGGAGCCUGGAGACGAGGAGCUGAGCCGCCUGAAGGAGGAGAAUGAGAGGCUUCGCUCCCUGACCUUCAGCCUGGCGGAGAAGGACAUUCUGGAGCAGAACCUGGAUGAGGCCCUGGAGAGCAGGCAGGAGCUGGUGAACCGCAUCCACUCUCUGAGGGAGCGGGCCAUGGCCGCUGAGAGACAGCGAAAGCAGUACUGGGAAGAGAAGGAGCAGACCCUGCUCCAGUUCCAGAAAACCAAGGUGGACUGCGAAAUCUACAAGGAGAAGAUGAACGUCCUGCAGAGCCAAGUGGUCGAGCUGCAGAAGGAGCGGGACCAGGCCUACUCGGCGAGGGAUGGAUCCCAGCUGGAGAUGUCUCAGAACCUGGCAGAGAAGGAUGCACUCCGCAGGAAGGUGUUUGAGCUGACAGACCAGGUCUGCGAACUGCGCCAGCAGGUCCAGCGGCUACAAGCGCAGGCCGAGUCGCUGCCAGGGCCCAAGCAGGAGGCGGGAGCCAGGGAGCCCUGUCCGAAGAGGAAGCAGCAGCUGGUGCGCAUGUUUGCCCUCUGCCCGUGGGACGACAGCGACGGCAGCUCCUCUGAGUCUCAGCUCUGGUCUGACCUGAGCGCCACGUCCAGCCGAGAGCUGGUGGAUAGCUUCCACUCCAGCAGCCCUGUGCCUCCCAGCCAGCAGUCCCUGUACAAGCGGGCCGCAGAGGACUUCUGGGAAGACCCCUCGUCUUUCAGUGGCUGCCCCAAAACCCUGGAGGUGGACCAGGGAGGCUCCCUGGGUGCUAAGAAGGGUGAUGCAGAUUUGGAUUAUGAGAUUGUAGACAGGGCAGAUCUCUCUGAGUCCGAGAACAGCCUGCAGCUGUCUUCCAGGGACCUCCACCUCUCCGCCAGCAGUGUCCCGGUGAGGCGGAGGCCAGCCCGCAAGAUCCUGGGCCAGGUCACGGUGCUGGCCUUCCAGGGGGACGCGCUGCUGGAGCAGAUAAGCGUUAUUGGUGGGAACCUCACGGGCAUCUACAUUCAUCGGGUCACCCCGGGCUCCGCGGCAGACGAGAUGGCGUUGUGCCCCGGCACCCAGAUUAUGAUGGUGGAUUACGAGGCAACAGAGCCCUUGUCCAAGGCUGUCCUGGAGGGCAUGACCCUGGAUCGGGCCGUCAGACUUCUCCAGAGGGUGAACGGCUUCUGCUGUCUGUCUGUGAAGGUCAACAUGGAGGGUUAUAAGAAGCUGGUCCAGGACCUAAAGGCCAAAGUGGCCACGUCAGGGGACUCCUUCUACAUCCGGGUCAACCUUGCCCUGGAGAGGCGGGCAGAGGGAGAGCUGCAGGUGCACUGCAACGACAUCCUGCACGUCACAGACACCCUGUUCCAGGGCGGCAGCUGCUGGCACGCCCACCGUGUUGGCCCCUACAGCACCAAGGGCACCGAACAGGGCACCAUCCCCAACUAUGCACGGGCUCAGCAGCUGCUCAUCGCCCUCAUCCAGGACAUGGCUCAUCAGAGCACCAUGGCCCGCAAGCAGCCUUCUGCGGGAGCCCAGAAGCUGGUCCGCAUCGUCAGUAUGGACAGAACAAAGGGCAGCCCUCUGUGGUCAUCCUUUGACGGGGGCCAGUCGGACCCAAGCCAGGUAGAAGACCCCUCCACCGUGUGCUUCUGGGCCGAGAGCUACUUCACCCUGGUGCCCUACACCCUGGUGCACAGCCACAGGCCCAGCCGGCCCCGGCCCGUGCUCUUUGUGCCCAGGGUGGUCGGGAAGAUCCUGAUGGAGAAGCUGUGCCUCCUCCAAGGGUAUAAGAAAUGCCCAGCAGCAUACUUGAGCCAGGAAGAGUAUGAUGCCUCCAGCCAGAGAGGGGACAUCAUCCAGGAGAGGGAGGCGUCUGGUGGUCGCUACUGUGUCACCUGCAGAGCAGUCGAGUCCCUGAUGGGAAAGAACACCCACGCCCUCCUGGACGUCCAGCUGGACAGUGUCCGCGUCCUGCACAAGAUGGAGAUCUUCCCCAUCAUUAUCCACAUCUCCAUCAAUGAGAAAGUGGCAAAGAAAUUCAAGUAGGUGCACCCCUGGGGGCUGGUGGUGAGGUUUGAAUGGGCACCAGAACUCCCCAUAAGGCCCAUGGCGACCACGUCCAGAGCCCGUGAUGGGGUUUCCAGGAUCUCACCUCGUGCCGGCCUUGGAAGUGUCACAGGGCAGUUCCCCUAAAACAUCCAGGACAGAGGUCCUGCAGCCCACCCCCGGGGAGCAACCCAGAGGACAGUAAGGAAGGCUCUGCAGCGGCUCGGCACCACAGAGGACCAGCUCCUGGAGGCUGCCAGGCAAGAGGAGGGUGAGCUGGAUAAAGUGCC
Eubalaena glacialis (North Atlantic right whale) is the source of this 3272-nucleotide RNA transcript. It is a transcript of the gene named caspase recruitment domain family member 14, with no coding region annotated. Lineage: Eukaryota; Metazoa; Chordata; Mammalia; Artiodactyla; Balaenidae. The record is from RefSeq and is a predicted model, not a curated record. The transcript is spliced from 21 exons.